This 814-nucleotide long non-coding RNA is filed under the name Citrus sinensis (sweet orange). RNAcentral's name for it is "long non-coding RNA (CSIN_LNC003995)". The record is from RNAcentral. Lineage: Eukaryota; Viridiplantae; Streptophyta; Magnoliopsida; Sapindales; Rutaceae.
UCCUGAGAAGAAUCAAUUUAAUUGGGUCAUUCCCCAUAAAUAUGUAACGGAAAGCGCUAAUGUAACUUACUAACGAUGGUCAAAACUAAAUAAAUUUUUACGGCUUAUUUGACUUUGAAUGUGUAAAAUUAUCAUGAUUACUAACUAAACAUUCAGUUGAGUGGUGUUAGGUAGAGAAUUAAGUGAUGUGGAAACUCCGACGAAUUGGUCAAUGACCAAGAAUGAAUUUAAAUUCAACUCCUUUCUCUCUCUCUCUCUCUCUUUGAUACCUUUGUCUGUAAAUUGAAGGUUUUUUUUUUUUUAAAGUUUCGUUAACUUCAAUUUGAUGUCUUUGAUACCUUUGUCUGUAAAUUGAAGGUUUUUUUUUUUUUAAAGUUUCGUUAACUUCAAUUUGAUGUGUCAAAUAAUUAUUUUUAAAUAUUACUACUGACGGGUGGUAAAACAAUAAUAUUGGAGUCCCCUAGUUGUAAUCAGUAAAAUAAUAUAACUCCUAAAAAAAAAACUCUGAUCCAUUGUAAUAAUAAAAAUGGAAUUAAUAUUUCUAUACUAAGAACUGGAACAAAUGUAUAUAUAGAAAAGAUAUGAACAAAUUAGUUAUAUGUAUUAUAUAUGGAAACAUUUCUAGUAUUAUCUAUUUAAUUAUGUUAUGUUAUUGGUAGUUUAGCAAAUUUUAAAUUACCUACUGGUAUGUGGUACGAACAAGAUUUAUGAACCUUAUAUAGAAUGACCAGCUAACUAGCUAGCAAGCCAGCAAAGUAUUUGAUUGAAUAUGAUGAAAAACAAAAUAGAAGUAUCUUUUCCUUAACUUACCAAG